RNAcentral lists this transfer RNA (73 nucleotides) under Schistocerca americana (American grasshopper). RNAcentral's name for it is "tRNA-Pro". It matches the Rfam family "tRNA". From Rfam's summary of the family: Transfer RNA (tRNA) molecules are approximately 80 nucleotides in length. Lineage: Eukaryota; Metazoa; Arthropoda; Insecta; Orthoptera; Acrididae. The record is from RNAcentral.
AGGCUCGUUGGUCUAGGGGUAUGAUUCCUGCUUCGGGUGCAGGAGGUCCCGGGUUCAAAUCCCGGGGAGCCCU